AAGGGUAUUGUUACAAAAGGAUA
Molecule: non-coding RNA, 23 nt
Filed under: Arabidopsis thaliana (thale cress)
Lineage: Eukaryota; Viridiplantae; Streptophyta; Magnoliopsida; Brassicales; Brassicaceae
Source: RNAcentral